AGUGAACGCUGGCGGCAGGCCUAACACAUGCAAGUCGAGCGGCAGCGCGGGGGCAACCCUGGCGGCGAGCGGCGGACGGGUGAGGAAUUCGUCGGAAUCUGCCUUUUUGUGGGGGAUAACGUAGGGAAACUUACGCUAAUACCGCAUACGUCCUACGGGAGAAAGUGGGGGACCGCAAGGCCUCACGCAGAAAGAUGAGCCGACGACCGAUUAGCUAGUUGGUGGGGUAAAGGCCCACCAAGGCGACGAUCGGUAGCUGGUCUGAGAGGAUGAUCAGCCACACUGGGACUGAGACACGGCCCAGACUCCUGCGGGGGGCAGCAGUGGGGAAUAUUGCACGAUGGGGGCAAGCCUGAUCCAGCCAUGCCGCGUGUGUGAAGAAGGACUUCGGGUUGUAAAGCACUUUUGUCCGGAAAGAAGUACAUGGAGCUAAUACCUUCGGGGGAUGACGGUACCGGAAGAAUAAGCACCGGCUAACUUCGUG
Molecule: ribosomal RNA, 484 nt
Filed under: uncultured bacterium
Lineage: Bacteria
Description: partial 16S ribosomal RNA
Rfam family: Bacterial small subunit ribosomal RNA
Source: RNAcentral